GACGAACGCUGGCGGCGUGCCUAAUACAUGCAAGUUGAGCGCUGAAGGUUGGUACUUGUACCCACUGGAUGAGCAGCGAACGGGUGAGUAACGCGUGGGGAAUCUGCCUUUGAGCGGGGGACAACAUUUGGAAACGAAUGCUAAUACCGCAUAAAAACUUUAAACACAAGUUUUAAGUUUGAAAGAUGCAAUUGCAUCACUCAAAGAUGAUCCCGCGUUGUAUUAGCUAGUUGGUGAGGUAAAGGCUCACCAAGGCGAUGAUACAUAGCCGACCUGAGAGGGUGAUCGGCCACACUGGGACGGAGACACGGCCCAAACGCCUACGGGAGGCAGCAGUAGGGAAUCUUCGGCAAUGGACGAAAGACUGACCGAGCAACGCCGCGGGAGGGAAGAAGGGUUUCGGAUCGGAAAACUCUGUUGGUAGAGAAGAACGUUGAUGAGAGUGGAAAGCUCAUCAAGUGACGGUAACUACCCAGAAAGGGACGGCUAACUACGUG
Molecule: ribosomal RNA, 497 nt
Filed under: uncultured bacterium
Lineage: Bacteria
Description: partial 16S ribosomal RNA
Rfam family: Bacterial small subunit ribosomal RNA
Source: RNAcentral